CAGUAAAUAAAAAAAAAGAGAACAAUUCGGUGUCAGAUGAGUGACAGUCAAACUGAUGUGACAACUGGAUGAGAUAAUUAUAGAAGAAAACACAGCGUAGAGUUUCAGGUUGAGGAGGGUGCCAUUGGAAAGCCAAAAAUAAUCCCCAAUCAGCCAGGGUAAUCAAGUGUGUCACACCAGGCUGCCACUCCCUUCCCAUGACAGGCAGGCACACACAGCCAGCACAACGCCAUCCACACAACCUUUCUUCCAUUUCAGCCUCACAGCUCUCCUUGGCAGAGGUGAAAACUCCAGCAGGAGGGCAGGGGGGGACAUGCAGGAAAGAGAAAGGCAGCCUUUAUUGCAGAUGCCAACAUCAACAGCGCCCAGAGCCGGCGUGUAGACAGAGGUGCUGCCUGUCCUUCAAUAGCCUCAGUGUGUGUAAUAACACCACAGAAAGAGGGACGGGACAGGAGCUGGCGGGGGGAGAGCCAGGCUGGGUGGUGCCUACUAGCCACAAUAACCAGAACCAGAUCCACGUUCCACUGGAAACCCAUCAGUGUGAAGGAGAGGAGUCCCGCUGUUGUUACCUGCACAUCUUUGUGGAGAUUUAACUUCCCCGCUCCAGUCAGGUUACACUAAGUCAAGCUAGCUGACAGGCCUGGAGUCAGCUCUACUUUAUCUGUUCUAUAAAGGCCUGAGCCAGAUGGAUUUGGCUCUUCCCUGGUGGUAGAUAAUAGAUGGUCGCCCCCCCCUUCAGUUUUCAGUCCUGUGCCUCGCAGCAGAUGAUGUACAGCUGCUCCUCCUGAGCUCCCAAUUCCUUUCCCUUGUCUGGAUAAAACGUCCUUGAAAGCAGCAGGGGCAGCAGGCGGAUCUAUAGUCUGUCAAGGCCACUCAGCUAGGGUCUCAGACUGCACAAUUUUGCCCUGAUGGUCCAGCUCUGAGUGGACAGCGGAGGGUACUGUCCAUCAGUCACUUUGGCAGCAGCACUGCCCACUCUGUGCCAGGGAUGAGCAACGGAGGGCAGGGAAGGGAGGUAAAGAGGAGAGAGAGGGAGAAAGAGGAGGUUGGGAGGAACUCUGAGGGUUAUGCAGAUAAUUCAUCCCUCGUCUGUUUCUCCCUUUUUCCCUGUAGAACACUGGCCUGGUUAGUCUAUCGUACAGUUGGUGGGCUGUUGGUGAUUGUUGGACCCUUCUUGUAGUGUCGUCAUAAUAAAUGGCAUCAAUGCCUCAGUGUAACGUUGAAUUAA
This is a long non-coding RNA of Seriola aureovittata, 1228 nucleotides long. RefSeq lists it as uncharacterized. The record is from RefSeq and is a predicted model, not a curated record. The transcript is spliced from 2 exons. Lineage: Eukaryota; Metazoa; Chordata; Actinopteri; Carangiformes; Carangidae.